AAACUAGGAUUAGAUACCCUAUUAUGCUUAGCCCUAAACAUUGAAUUUACAUUACACCUAACAUUCCGCCAGGGAAUUACGAGCACCAGCUUAAAACCCAAAGGACUUGGCGGUGCUUAACAUCCACCUAGAGGAGCCUGUUCUAUAAUCGAUAAUCCCCGUUUAACCUCACCCUCUCUUGCUCUACCGCCUAUAUACCGCCGUCGUC
Molecule: ribosomal RNA, 208 nt
Filed under: Lates niloticus (Nile perch)
Lineage: Eukaryota; Metazoa; Chordata; Actinopteri; Centropomidae
Description: partial 12S ribosomal RNA
Rfam family: Bacterial small subunit ribosomal RNA
Source: RNAcentral